UGUACCCUAAAACUUAAAGUAUAAUAAAAAAAAAAAGUUACUCUCACUGAAGUUCUCUCUUGCCCAUUUCAAUCCCUACUCCCAUCUCCAGCCCUAAGCAAUACUGCUCUGAUAUUCUGUCUGUAUAAAUUUCCCAUCUGUGUAAUAGAAAUGGAAUCAUACAAUAUAUUAUAUUGAGGUCUGACUUUAAUCAUUUAGUUACUAUUUUUGAAGUUAAUUGAUGCUUUAGCUUGUGCCGGUCAUGUGUUUUCCUUUUCAUUGCUUCAUAGUCCAUUGUGUGGAUAUAUAAACAGUGUUUAUUCAUUCAUCAGUUGAUGGACAUUUAAUUAUUUCUGUUUUUUGUAUUAUGAAUAAUGCUGCUUUGAGCAUUCAUAAUACAGUCAUGUAAUGUAUAAUAACAUUUUGGUCAAUGAUGGAUAGCAUGUAUGAUGGCAGUCCCAUAAGAUUAUGAUAGAGUUUAAAAAUUCCUAUCACCUAGUGUCUUGUAGCUGUCACAAGUGUGUAGCGUAACACAUUAGACAGGCAUCAGUGAUGAUGCCGAUGGAAAGGAAUCUACUGGUUUUCCAGUUAUGUUAAAGUACUGUAUAGAACAUACAACUAUGUGCAGUAUAUAAUACUUGGUAGUGAAAAUAAAUGACUAUGUUCCUGGUUUAUGUAUUUACUGUGCUAUACUUUCUAUAAUUAUUUGAGAAUAUAUUCUAUCUGCGUAUUAAAACAAACCACUUACCUGUAAAACAGCCUCAAGUAGGCCUUUGAGGAUGUAUGCUAGAAGGUGUUGUUAUCGUAAGAGAUGACAGCACCAUGUGUGUUUCUGCCCCUUCCAGUGGGACAAGAUGUGGAUUCAGAAGGCAGUGACAUUGAUGAUCCUAAUCCUGUGUAGGUCUAGGCUGAUGUGUGUGUCUGAGCCUCAGCUGUUAACAAAAAAAGUUUAAAAUUUAAAACUUAAAUUUUAAAAUAGAAAAAAUAUAGAAUAAUAUUUUAAAAAUUUGCACAGCUGUACAAUAUGUUUAUGUUUUAAGGUAAGUGGUAUUACAAAAUAGUUGUUUUUAAAAUUGUUUAAGUUUAUAAAUUUUAAAUGUUACAGUAGGCUAAGGUUAAUUGUUGAGUAAAUAAAAAUAGAUUUCUAUAAAUUUAGGGUAGUCUAAAGAUACAAUGUUCAUAAAGUCUAUAGUAGUGUACAGUAAGGUCCUAGGCCUUCACAUUCACUCACCAUUCACUCACCGAAUCAUCCAGAGCAACGUCCAGUCCUUUAAGCUCUGUUCAUGGUAAAGUGCCCUAUACAGAUGUACUAAUUUUUAUAUUUUAUACCAUAUUUUAUUGUAGCUUUUCUAUAUUUAGAUUUUAGAUAUAUAAAUGCUUACCGUUUUGUUACCUUUGCCUGCAGUAUUCAGUACAGUUACAUGUUGUACAGUUUGAAGCCCAGAGCAAUUGGCUGUAUCAUACAGCCUAGGUGUAUAGGGGGCUAUGCCAUCCAGGUUUAUGUAAGUGCACUCUAUGAUGUCUGCGUAAUUACUACAUCACUUAACGAUGCAUUUCUCAGAACACAUCACUGUCGUUAAGAGACACAUGUCUGUACAAAUGACUUUGGAGAAUAUGCUUUCAGUUCACUUGGAGCAUUCCUGGGUGUGGAUUUGCUGGACCAAAUGGUAAGUUCAAAUUUAAUUUUUUUUAAGAAACAAGAAAGCUAUCUUCUAAAUUAGCUGUGCCAAUGUACAUUUCUACCGUGCUGCAUAGUACCAAUUUCAUACAGUGUAUGAAAUUGGUACACUGUAUGGUAAGCCCUAGCAUGUAAGAAAUGAAUAAAGUAACACAUAUAAAGAUUAGUAUAAAGCAAAUGAGAUUAUUAUUGUUGUUAUUGUCUUUGUCAGAUUCUCAGAAUAAUUAAGAAUAUAUUUUUAUAUAAAUGUGCUUGGCAACAUAGCUGAAAACAGCGUUAGUAGUUAUAUACUUUUAUCAGUAACAAAGACAUAAAUUUUCCGGGAGAAAAACACUUGUAAUAACAAUGUCAGAAUUAACAUACAAAUUCUGCAAAACAUUUUUGGCAGUUUAAUUGGGGCAGUGUUUUGUAGACAAAUGAACAACUUAAGUAAGGGGAAUCAACAAAACUUGGGUUUCAAAAGUUAUCUGGGUUUAGAGUGUGAAACUUCGUCGGAGGACACACACCUUGCGUGAAUGAGAUGCCUCGGUGUGUGUGGACAUGUUGGAGGUACAGCAUAAUGGUGGCUUCCUCCAGAAAGGGACAUUUGGGGGAGCACCAAUGGCUCCUGUCUCACAGUGGAUUCAUUCCACCUAGACAACACAGCCUGAUGUGGCAUGGACAUGAAUGGAGGUCAAAUGGGCAGUAGCUGAGAGGAUCAGCCCUGACAAGGGCCAGGGUGAAAGACCUGGGAGUCUCUUCAGGUGCAAAGUCUUCAGUUGAAAAAAGGAGGUGGUCACAGGAGAUACUGAGCUGGAUCAAUAAAGUGCAGGAGAGAGAGUUGUUGGCCCUGGGGAGCGAGUAGUAUGGACUCUUAAGUUUUCUCCUCCUUCCAUUAAUUUCUCUUCCAGUGCAGACUUCAGUCUUAGACUUCCCAGCUGCCUUGAGGGAUUGGAUGAGCCUUGGCCAGCUCUUGAAGGAAACAAUAAAAUCACUUUAAUGUGCUACUUUUCAUUUUGAAGUCAUUACAGUAUCAUUUGCAAAACUCAACAAGGAAAGAUGCCUGUGGAUGGCCGUGUUCUGGGAGUCACUGUGAUGAGGUUCUCACACGUCCCUGAGGAACUAGAGAGGAACGCCUCUGGGAAGCCCAGCCAGAGCCAACCGGAAGGGCCUUUUGGUGAAGUCUGACAUCCUACAUUAGUUUCUCUGGACCUGGAGCUCCCUGGAUAAAUCAUGAACAGAAGCAUCUAUGACCGACAGUUGCUCUGUGUCCUUCUAGCCUCGCAGGAGUUUCCAGCUCAUGAGGGCAGAGGAGAUGAAGAGAGGCCGAUCGACGUGAGGGUUGUGCAGGCGGCCCCUCUGAGGUGUGACUCCAGUAAGUACUCUGGAAUUACUUGCUGAGAAAGAAAAGUCUGGAUGCCAAGAAAGGUGUGACAUCCUUGCUGGCUUCAAUGUGAAGAGCCACCCUGAUUCUGGGAUUCUGAUAGGAAUAAGGUAGAUGAUGCAUAUCUGAACCUGGAAACCGCUUCCCACUGUAGAGCGUGUCUGAGUCAUGUCCCUUAGCUUCAGCAGAGCAGAUCCAGCAGGCUCUGAGCUUGGCCUCUUUGCCUGGAGCGAGACCUCUAGGUAAUGUCUCCAGAGAGGGUGGCACAAAGGAUCCUGGAUCUCCUGAUCACAGCAGCCCAAGAGUGCCGUGCGUGCACCAUGGCUCAAGAAGAAGACUUAAAAAGGGGAAA
Molecule: long non-coding RNA, 3372 nt
Filed under: Homo sapiens (human)
Lineage: Eukaryota; Metazoa; Chordata; Mammalia; Primates; Hominidae
Description: HSALNT0393092
Source: RNAcentral